Molecule: small nuclear RNA, 107 nt
Organism: Dipodomys ordii (Ord's kangaroo rat)
Lineage: Eukaryota; Metazoa; Chordata; Mammalia; Rodentia; Heteromyidae
Source: Ensembl
GUGCUCUCUUCAGCAGCACACAUACUAAAAUUGGAACCAUACAGAGAAGAUUAGUAUGGCCCCUGAGCUAGGAUGACACGUAAAUUCAUGAUGCAUUCCAUAUUAAG